Non-coding RNA from Extremus antarcticus, 95 nucleotides. NCBI's taxonomy places the organism in Eukaryota, Fungi, Ascomycota, Dothideomycetes, Mycosphaerellales, Extremaceae. The record is from the annotation of a GenBank genome assembly.
GCUCAUGUGGUCCAGUUGGUUAGGACACCCCCCAUUGCCGAAGUGCUGCCGAAGUGCUGGGUGUAGUAACGGUGGUUCGAUCCCAUCCAUGGGCA